AGAGUUUGAUCAUGGCUCAGGAUGAACGCUGGCGGCGUGCCUAACACAUGCAAGUCGAACGGACAUGAGAGCUGAGGUUUUCGGACGGAAGCGAUUAUGUUAGUGGCGGACGGGUGAGUAACGCGUGGAUAACCUGCCCCAUACCGGGGGAUAACAGCCGGAAACGGCUGCUAAUACCGCAUAAGCGCACACAACCGCAUGGGAGAGUGUGAAAAACUCCGGUGGUAUGGGAUGGAUCCGCGUCUGAUUAGCCAGUUGGCGGGGUAACGGCCCACCAAAGCAACGAUCAGUAGCCGGCCUGAGAGGGUGAACGGCCACAUUGGGACUGAGACACGGCCCAAACUCCUACGGGAGGCAGCAGUGGGGGAUAUUGCACAAUGGGGGAAACCCUGAUGCAGCGACGCCGCGUGAGUGAAGAAGUAUUUCGGUAUGUAAAGCUCUAUCAGCAGGGAAGAAAGAGGACGGUACCUGAGUAAGAAGCCCCGGCUAACUACGUGCCAGCAGCCGCGGUAAUACGUAGGGGGCAAGCGUUAUCCGGAUUUACUGGGUGUAAAGGGAGCGUAGACGGCAUAGCAAGCGCGGAGUGAAAGCCCGGGGCCCAACCCCGGGACUGCUCUGUGAACUGUUGAGCUGGAGUGCAGGAGGGGUAGGCGGAAUUCCUGGUGUAGCGGUGAAAUGCGUAGAGAUCAGGAGGAACACCGGCGGCGAAUGCGGCCUACUGGACUGUAACUGACGUUGAGGCUCGAAGCGUGGGGAGCAAACAGGAUUAGAUACCCUGGUAGUCCACGCGGUAAACGAUG
RNAcentral lists this ribosomal RNA (800 nucleotides) under uncultured bacterium. RNAcentral describes it as "bacterial SSU rRNA". It matches the Rfam family "Bacterial small subunit ribosomal RNA", at positions 8 to 811 of the family's 1533-position model. The record is from RNAcentral.